This 416-nucleotide ribosomal RNA is filed under the name Pelophylax porosus brevipodus (dharma pond frog). RNAcentral's name for it is "partial 12S rRNA". It matches the Rfam family "Bacterial small subunit ribosomal RNA", at positions 858 to 1445 of the family's 1533-position model. Lineage: Eukaryota; Metazoa; Chordata; Amphibia; Anura; Ranidae. The record is from RNAcentral.
CACCAACCAGCGCCAGGGAAUUACGAGCCAUGCUUAAAACCCAAAGGACUUGACGGUGUCCCACCCACCUAGAGGAGCCUGUUCUAUAAUCGAUGAUCCCCGAUAUACCUAACCAUCCCUCGCCCAUCAGUCUGUAUACCUCCGUCGAAAGCCUACCAUGUGAACGCUUACAGUAGGCCCAAUGAUUCCCCAUCAACACGUCAGGUCAAGGUGCAGCUUACGGAAUGGAAAGCAAUGGGCUACAAUUUCUAGUUUAGAACAAACGAAAGACUCUGUGAAACCCUAGUCAUGAAGGCGGAUUUAGUAGUAAAAGGAAAAUAGAGUGUUCCUUUUAACCUGGCUCUGGGACGCGUACACACCGCCCGUCACCCUCUUCGAUAGCACUUCACCUAGUAUAUAACCCUAUACCGCAUCUU